This 3919-nucleotide long non-coding RNA is filed under the name Homo sapiens (human). RNAcentral's name for it is "non-protein coding lnc-IAH1-2:8". The record is from RNAcentral. Lineage: Eukaryota; Metazoa; Chordata; Mammalia; Primates; Hominidae.
CCCUCCUUCGAGGACCAGGAAGAAUUCUGGAGCUUUGGGCCCUUCCUUUCUGGCUCUGAUUCUACCGCCAGGCUCGACGCCCCCAGAAGUGCAGGUGGCGUUACCAAAGGCCGGCUCAGCCAGCUUCCGGCCGCCGCUGUCCCCCGCACCACCCACAGCCGGAAGCCGGCUGCCGCGCGGCAUCCCGGGAGGCUCCGCUUGCCCCGCCCCACGCCGGUGCGCCGCGGGCCUCUGGUCCGCUGCCGUGUUCGGCCCCGCCCGUCACGUCUAGCUGGGGCUCGCCCGGCGCCUUCCUGGACGCAGACGUAUGAGUCCCAACUCCACCCAGUCCGGCCUGGCCUCUGUCCCCGGGUGACCGCGGAAUGGGGGGGCGGGAGCUAGCGAGCAGGCCCUCAAGCGCGUCUGGCCGCCUCCUUUGUCUUGAUGCCCACGUCUGGUUAGGACCCCUGCUGUCCAUUUUAUUAAAGGAGCUGUAGAAAGCGGCCUGGGGCCCAGCGACCUGCCCAGGGCGGACGAGGAGGCGCGACUGGCCCGAUGCCGCAGGCUCUCUGCCCAGUGUGCUCAGGUGGGAGGGCGGGGACAUGAAUCGAGCCACAGAGUGCCCUGGGCACGGACCCCCCGCCCCCCCCGGCCCCGGGCCCCGAGCCCCGAGCCCCGAGCCCGGCCACCGAAGCCCGUGCCACUCGCCAGCUCCUGCGAGACGAGCCUUUCGAGCGCAGCUCAGGCAUUUGGUUCAGGGUCCUACUGCCGGAGUCGUCUGAGGCCUCCAUCCGUCUGUCGUCACGAAAAAGGUUUUGGGGGGACUAAUAAGCACUUCCUGAAUGCACAUUUGCUCCACGCCCCUGCUGUAGGGAGAGGGUCUGCAGACACUUCAACAAAUAGAAUCCUAGGACCUUACCUGAUCGUAUUGUAUAAAAUGGAUGAAAACAGAGCUAUUGGGUUUGAAGCACUCCUGAACCCUCUCAUGGAACCCUAUGUCUUCCUGGAGUCUACAGAGCUAUUGGGUUUGAAGCACUCCUGAACCGUCUAGUAGAACCCUAUGUCUUCCUGGAGUCUACAGAGCUAUUGGGUUUGAAGCACUCCUGAACCGUCUAGUAGAACCCUAUGUCUUCCUGGAGUUUACAGAAAAAGAGACUCAGGGAUUUUCCCAAAGCACACUGCAAGUUAGGGGCAGGAAUGACAGCCCAGACCUUCUGGUUUCCAGUCCAGGGCUCAACUGCCUAAACAGUGGCAUCUCUUCAGGCAGGCCCUGUCAGAGGCAGAUUAGGGGACUUGUCCAAAGUUACUCAACUAUGAAGAGUCAAGAUUCAAAUCCAGAGACAUCUGACUUCAUUUCCCUUCAUUAACAACCAUCUAAGGAAGUUCCUAUUACUUUGGGAACUCCUAGUAGCAGGUGGUUAAAAAAAACUCCUGGACAACAUACUAUGCUAUUUGAAUCAUCCUACUUCUUACGCGUUCCUCCAGGAUGCACUCUUCUCCCAUUCUGAAACUGACAGUUCUCUUUACAAACUGUGUAUGUUUCAUUCCUGGAUUGCAUCUGAGCUGCCGCCAUGGAACGGGCAUUGAGUUUUAGCGUGUGUGAUGUCCCAUGUGUUCAUUUUGUCUCCCCACACUAUAAACUUGAGAGGCAAGGCCAACUCUUUUAUGUCUUCAAAUGCUUUGCUGCCAAACACAGGAUUGGAAAUGGCCAACAAAGACUAAAAUGCUACUUCUCUACCCUUUUCACUAUGCCAUCUACUGGAAAUUUAAGCAAGACUUGCAGAGAUCACUUCAGGUUAUCUGUUCCCCUGCAAGAAACACUUGUGGUUUGGCCUGAAAUAGUUUUCUGCUGAUUCUUUCUCUACAGCCCUGAACCCUAAAAACAAAUGAAAUGCAUCAACACAAUACUAAAUGCCUACAUAUUAUUACUAUUAUGUCUUUAAAAAAAGAGUGAAAGCUUUUUCAUGUUUGCUUUAAAUCAACCAUGUAGAAACUGGAGGGACCAGUGAAGAGGAAUAGAGGGAAUGAACUCAAAUGCUCUAACUUGCAAUAGGACAGUUGGGUUCUUACUUUGACUCACCUGACCUUUACAACCAUUAGCCAGCUCACAUGAUGCCCAAACAAGUUGCUGAGCCUCCUGCCCAUCCUCUGUAUAUAUCCCUGGUUUCCUGUCUCAAGCUUUAGGCUAAUCUCCAUCAACACUGACCUCACAUGAAUACUAAAUGCAGAUGUCUGACCUCAUAUUUCUCUGCCAGUCAGAUCCCUGGCCUCUUUACUACAGACCUUAAGGACCAGUUCUCAAACUCAUCUCAUUGGCAUCUUUUCACAUCACGAAAUCUAUCUGGUCAGGAUUUGAAUAAAACUGUAUUUUUACUUUAAUACAAAAGAGUCAACAUGGGCAGUGACUAAAUAAAGGGGGUGGGGACAGAGUUAACACGAGCCACCUAUGCUGUUACAUAUAUAUAUAUCCCGAUUAAUUUCAGUUGGUGAAGAGGAAGACCCUCGGGCACAGAUUUCAACACUGUGCUGGACUCAGACCCAAAAUCCUUUGACUUAUUUUUAUUUUUUGGGAUGAGGUCUCGCUAUGUUGCCCAGGCUGGAGUACAGUGGCUAUUCAUAGGCACUAUCAUAGUGCAGGGUAGCCUUGAACUCCUGGCCUCAUGAUCCUCCCACCUCAGCCUCCCUAGUGGCUGGUAGCUGGGACUACAGACACAACCAGCCCUCUGACUUAUUUUUACUACUCUGCUGUGAAACUCACCCGAUCUUUACUUUGGCCUUCAUUAUUGAGGCUUCCUUAAAGCAGUGGUUCUCAAAGUACCAGGUCCUGAUCAGCAGCAUCAGCAUCAAUUUGUUAAAAAUACAAAUGCUCUAUGGGGCCCUACCUCAGACUUACUGAAUCAAAACUCCUUAGUCAAGACUUAACUGCUGGUAAGUGACUGAGUUUUUGGUCAAAGGCAUUUCCUUUUAGCACUUGUUCUCUGGGUCCUGAUUUUUCUUUACUUAUUUCAACAGAAUGACCUUUCCCAUUGUAUUCCAUCAGAGAGUGCUAAUUAGAAGCAAAACCACAGCUUAAUUGUCUUUUUUUUUUUUUAACUUCGCAUUCCCAAGUUACACCGUCAUUUUCUUUUUGUGACUAUGCCCUUGAAAAUCUAGGGCAAUAGGUCUGCUCAGUGUUGUUGAUUUUCUUAUCCACAAGACUGGUUUCACUUUAUUAGAACUUUCUAGUUCCAAAAUUAGGCUAUCCUGCUAACUUCCUUCCCACUUGAGUGUUCCACUACAUACAUUCCACAGCCCUUUACACUUGGAAAUACUUUCACACAUUGGCUUGCAGGCUAGAUAGAUUGUCCACCUUUUAUCUGUAAAAGGUAAAACAGAAACUCAGUGAGAUUAAAGCCAUAGCUAUAAAGUAGUGAAGUUUAAAGUUCUGGUACCUACUUCAGUCCCUGACUCAUAACAAGCGCUCAAUAUAUUUAACAAGUAUGUGAAUGACCAUGGAAGCCAGAUCUUUGACUUCUAGGCUGGUUUUCUUUCUCUUUUUUUUUUGAGAUGGAGUCUCGCUCUGUUACCCAGGCUGGAGUGCAGUGGCACGAUCUCGGCUCACUGCAACCUCCGCCUCCCAGGUUCAGGCAAUUCUCCUGCCUCAGCCUCCCAAGCAGCUGGGAUUACAGGUGCACGCCACCAUGCCCAGCUAACUUUUGUAUUUCUAGUAGAAACGGGGUUUCACCAUGUUGGCCAGGCUGGUCUCGAAAUCCUGACCUCAAGUGAUCCGCCUGCCUUGGCCUCCCAAAGUGCUGGGAUUACAGGCAUGAGCCACUGCACCCAGUUUCUGGCUGGUCCUUUCUAUCUCUAGAUCACACAAUCUCUCAUGUUACAUAGUUGUGGGAAUAGACAAGUCUAGCUCCAAAAAGCGUUAAUAAUCUUGUCCCAUUUAUUUUCCUAG